AUCGCUGAAUUUGUUUAAAGGACAAGUCCACUCGAAUUUUCAAAAAUCAUAGCAUGUUGUAAAUAAAUCAAAGGUUAAAACUGCCAAAUAUCACUGCUGUACUUCAAUCGGUUGAUUUUUAAGAGCGAUUUCUAUUUCGGUUAUUUCUAGCAAAACAUUUAAAUUUGCCACACCGAUGUCAGAUUGUUGAUCACGUGAUGUGACGUAUGGUCCUCACAACUACUAAGCGCAUAUCUUACAUUCUGACUAGUCAAGAUGCCGCUGUGCCAGGCGUACGGGUGUUCCAAUCGGCCAGGGUAUGGGAGUAAAAAAAGUUUCUUUAGCAUCCCAAACCCAUUGCAAGACAGGGAGAGAUGUUCUCAGUGGUUGAACAAUAUUGGGACGAACAAGUUUAAUAUACGGACAUAUCAAUUUAGCAAAAAUAGAGUCGUUUGCGAGGACCACUUCGAGGCUGAUUGUUUUCAGGAAUUCGGGCGAAGGUGAUGAAGUACGAGGCCCGAAUGAAACUACUACUAAAACCCGAUGCCAUUCCUACCAUCUUCUUCCACCGUCCUCAACCACCAUCCAAGAGGAAAUCAACAACACGACGUCGGGAAGAGUCUGAGCGUCAAAAGACGCACUUGACCAUCGAAGCUUGCGGGACUUUGACAGACAUCACACAUCAGUCUCCAUUGCAUUCCUGGAUCAACAUUUGCUGGACUGAGUGGACUCCAGGCCUUUGUUCAUUUUAAUGGUUAUUAAUUUGAAGACUCAUCAGCAGUUAUGCUUCACGUUGCAACAAACAAUCUUGAACGGGGAGUUUGGGAGAAGGACGAGAAGGAUUUUGUUCAGCUUAAUCCUUUCAAUAAAACAAAAAUCUCUGAUACUCCCAAAGUUCCAAGGUGGGAUUCCAGAGCUUCACACGAACAAAGCAUUUAUUAUAUUAAUAGAAACAUGACUGAACAACAAUCAUUUGUUGUUGUUUUUCUGACAGACGCACUCAACCAUCGAAGCUUGCGGGACAUUGACAGACAUCAAUCUUCCUUGUAUGAAGUAGCAUUUACCGAGGAAGAAGAAAGAAGAACUGUCACCUUUAUACAAUUUAACAAUAUUGAACUCUAAUAAUACUUUUAUUCUCAGCGACACAUUUUAUGCGUGUGAUGGUCUCAAUAUAAAUGUCAAAGUCAGUUCAUAAAUAAAAUAUAAAUAUUAUAAAAUGCAAA
This 1202-nucleotide long non-coding RNA is filed under the name Strongylocentrotus purpuratus (purple sea urchin). RNAcentral describes it as "uncharacterized LOC115929590". Lineage: Eukaryota; Metazoa; Echinodermata; Echinoidea; Camarodonta; Strongylocentrotidae. The record is from RNAcentral.